AGGGUUUGAUUAUGGCUCAGGACGAACGCUGGCGGCGCGCCUAACACAUGCAAGUCGAACGAGCAAAGAGGAGCUUGCUUCUCUGAGCGAGUGGCGAACGGGUGAGUAACGCGUGAGGAACCUGCCUCAAAGAGGGGGACAACAGUUGGAAACGACUGCUAAUACCGCAUAAGCGCACAGCAUCGCAUGAUGCAGUGUGAAAAACUCCGGUGGUAUAAGAUGGACCCGCGUUGGAUUAGCUAGUUGGUGAGGUAACGGCCCACCAAGGCGACGAUCCAUAGCCGACCUGAGAGGGUGACCGGCCACAUUGGGACUGAGACACGGCCCAA
RNAcentral lists this ribosomal RNA (329 nucleotides) under uncultured bacterium. RNAcentral describes it as "bacterial SSU rRNA". It matches the Rfam family "Bacterial small subunit ribosomal RNA", at positions 8 to 334 of the family's 1533-position model. The record is from RNAcentral.